Molecule: transfer RNA, 77 nt
Filed under: Thalassotalea ponticola
Lineage: Bacteria; Pseudomonadati; Pseudomonadota; Gammaproteobacteria; Alteromonadales; Colwelliaceae
Also listed under: 2 other names
Description: tRNA-Val
Rfam family: tRNA
About the family: Transfer RNA (tRNA) molecules are approximately 80 nucleotides in length. Their secondary structure includes four short double-helical elements and three loops (D, anti-codon, and T loops).
Source: RNAcentral
GGGAGCGUAGCUCAGUUGGUUAGAGCGCUUGCUUGACAUGCAAGAGGUCGCUGGUUCGAAUCCAGUCGCACCCACCA